This is an RNA transcript of Mustela erminea (ermine), 2563 nucleotides long. It is a transcript of the gene named fucosyltransferase 11, with no coding region annotated. NCBI's taxonomy places the organism in Eukaryota, Metazoa, Chordata, Mammalia, Carnivora, Mustelidae. The transcript is spliced from 4 exons. The record is from RefSeq and is a predicted model, not a curated record.
UGGCUGAGCAGAACUGCGCAUGCGUCACACGCACCGCGGGCGUAGGACCUCGUCGGGUGGCGGUUCACCGCAGGGCGGGGUCUAGUGCUGCCGGGAGGAGUUGCGGGUUUGGUGGGCGGUGGUGGGGGGCGGUUAGGAGGCAGCUGGCAGUGGAUAUGGCGGCGGGCCGCAGCGGGGUUGUGCUUGCCGUCUUCGGAGUGCUUAGUAUUUGUACGGUCAGCGGCUCUGGGCCCGUGGCUGAGAGGGAGACGGGCGGGGAGGCGGGCUGGACGGAGCCAUGGGAUGGUGCGGUUUUCCGGUCGCCCUCAGCGCUGGGCGCGGUCGGGGUGGCGCGCAGUCCAGGGACCGCGCGGCCAGGGAGGGAGGAGGCGGUGGACUUGCCGGUGCUGCUGUGGUGGAGCCCAGGCCUAUUUCCUCACUUUCCGGGCGACUCGGAGCGCAUCGAGUGCGCGCGCGGUGCGUGCCUGGCGUCCCGGGACCGACGGGUGCGGGGGCACUCACGGACGCGCGCGCUGCUCUUUUACGGCACUGACUUUCGCGCGUCUGAGGCGCCGCUGCCGCGCCUGGCACAUCAGAGCUGGGCGCUUCUGCACGAGGAAUCGCCCCUCAACAACUUCGUGCUGAGCCACGGGCCCGGCAUCCGCCUCUUCAAUCUCACUGCCACCUUCAGCCGCCAUUCGGACUACCCGCUGGCGCUGCAGUGGCUCCCCGGGACCGCCUACCUGCGCCGCGCGGCGCCUCCGCUACAGGAGCGCGCCGAGUGGCGCCGCCGCGGCUACGCGCCUUUGCUCUAUCUGCAGUCCCACUGCGACGUGCCUGCGGACCGGGACCGCUACGUGCGCGAGCUGAUGCGUUACAUCCCGGUGGACUCCUAUGGGAAAUGCCUGCAAAAUCGGGACCUGCCCACUUCGCGGUUACGGGACACAGCCACAGCCACCACCGAAGAUCCAGAGCUUUUGGCCUUCUUGUCUCGCUAUAAGUUCCACUUGGCCCUCGAAAAUGCCAUCUGUGAUGACUACAUGACAGAAAAACUUUGGCGCCCCAUGCAUCUCGGGGCUGUGCCUGUGUAUCGCGGCUCUCCUUCUGUGAGGGACUGGAUGCCCAACAAUCACUCCAUCAUCCUCAUUGAUGACUUUGAGUCACCUCAGAAGCUGGCAGAAUUUAUUGACUUUCUGGACAAGAAUGAUGAGGAAUACAUGAAAUACCUGGCAUAUAAGCAACCUGGGGGCAUCACCAACCAGUUCCUUCUGGAUAGUCUGAAGCAUCGGGAGUGGGGAGUGAAUGAUCCUUUGCUGCCUAACUACCUCAAUGGCUUCGAGUGUUUCGUCUGUGACCAUGAACUGGCUCGGCUGGAGGCCGAGAAAGCUCACGCAGCCUCUCCUGGGGAUAUCCCUGGCCCUGAACCUCACAUUGCCCAGCCCUCACACAUGGAUUGUCCGGUGCCCACACCUGGUUUUGGCAGUGUGGAAGAGAUUCCUGAGAAUGACAGCUGGAAGGAGAUGUGGCUGCAAGAUUAUUGGCAAGGUCUGGACCAGGGGGAAGCUCUCACUGCCAUGAUCCACAACAAUGAGACAAAGCAGAUGAAAUUUUGGGAUUAUCUACAUGAGAUCUUCAUGAAAAGGAACCAAAAUCUCUAAUUAUCCUUGCAAGAGCCUUUAACUUGGUAGAGUUAAGGAGACAGAAGUCCUUAUUCUACUAUCAGGGGCGUCUGCUGCACAACCUUAAUGAACACUGUCUUAUCAUGAGUUCAAGGAAUUCCAUUUAUAGCCACUGAUAUUUUAUCCUAAUGUUGUGUACCCACUGUCUCAGCUUGUGGUAAUAGGGCCUGUCUUCAAGGAGAGGUGGAGGUCUCCAGUUCUGAGAUUAGUGGGAAGCAAAUGCCUGAAACACCCACUUGUUUCAAAGUGCUGAUUGAACAGAAUUUUAAAAGAACUGCAUCUUUUUCUAGCCAUCUCAUUCUCUCAACUGUGAUUGGAACAACACCUUGGUACUUGUCUAAGAAUGAGUAGCUGAUGAAGAUGCAGGAGCCUUGCCACCAUCCCCACACUCAUUCUACCCUGCAUUAAACUGACUAUAGACUUGACAGCUUUUUUUACUCCUGAUUUGCCUUUUUUUUUUCCCCUUAAGAGUAUAUCAUGAAUUCCUUCUCAUCUCAUAAACAUGAAGAUUCAAUGGCUAAUAUAUGCCAUGUCAAUUUAAUGAAUUGUCCUGCUCUAUUUUAGGUUGCAGAUAGAGACUCAGGCUGGAAAUGAUGACAGAGUAUCUAUCAUUCAUAUAUAUUUAAAUGAUUUUGGAAUGUUAAAAUAGACCAGUGCAAAUCAAACUGCAGAUUUUUUAUAGGUCUUUGUCUUUUCUAUCUGCCUAAUGAACUCUUCUAUUUUACUAUUUUUAUAUGCUACCAAAGUCUCGUUUUCCCCAAAGAGUCAUGAAAAUUAUGUUGGAAAAAACAACCCAGCAAUAUAGUUGUAGUCAUUACCUCAUAUUAUGUAGCAUUUUUCACUUUAUGUGGAAUGAAUAUUCAAACGUCAUUCUAUUACCAGUAUCUGUCUGUACAACUUUGUAG